GGUGAGCGCUGGCGGCGUGCCUAACACAUGCAAGUCGAACGGAGCUGCUUUGAUGAAGUUUUCGGAUGGAUUUAAAACAGCUUAGUGGCGGACGUGUGAGUAACGCGUGGGUAACCUGCCUCACACUGGGGGAUAACAGUUAGAAAUAGCUGCUAAUACCGCAUAAGCGCACGGUUCCGCAUGGAACAGUGUGAAAAACUCCGGUGGUGUGAGAUGGACCCGCGUCUGAUUAGCCAGUUGGCGGGGUAACGGCCCACCAAAGCGACGGUCAGUAGCCGGGCUGAGAGGGUGAACGGCCACAUUGGUACUGAGACACGGCCCAAACUCCUACGGGAGGCAGCAGUGGGGAAUAUUGCACAAUGGGGGAAACCCUGAUGCAGCGACGCCGCGUGAGUGAAGAAGUAUUUCGGUAUGUAAAGCUCUAUCAGCAGGGAAGAAAGUGACGGUACCUGAAUAAGAAGCCCCGGCUAACUACGUGCCAGCCGCCGCUGUAA
RNAcentral lists this ribosomal RNA (494 nucleotides) under uncultured bacterium. RNAcentral describes it as "partial 16S ribosomal RNA". It matches the Rfam family "Bacterial small subunit ribosomal RNA", at positions 28 to 523 of the family's 1533-position model. The record is from RNAcentral.